CGACUCUUGCUGAGACCAAAGCACCAUCUCUCAAUAGAGGACCAGAACCAGUGCUCUUACAGAAAUAUUUUCGAAGCAGAUGCCAGCAGUAUGUCGGUGCCAACGCUUCAUGUUUGCAAAGCUGUGAAGGAAUGAGAGGAAAGCAUCCGCCUCCCAGGAAGUCACUGAAGAAAGGGGCUCGCUUUGUUUUCUGAGAAGAGAAGGACACAGGCCAGGUGUUCCCAUCAAAUCAAUAAGGAG
RNAcentral lists this long non-coding RNA (240 nucleotides) under Mus spicilegus (steppe mouse). RNAcentral describes it as "lncRNA (ENSMSIG00000018741.1)". Lineage: Eukaryota; Metazoa; Chordata; Mammalia; Rodentia; Muridae. The record is from RNAcentral.